RNAcentral lists this ribosomal RNA (468 nucleotides) under uncultured bacterium. RNAcentral's name for it is "partial 16S ribosomal RNA". It matches the Rfam family "Bacterial small subunit ribosomal RNA", at positions 28 to 507 of the family's 1533-position model. The record is from RNAcentral.
GACGAACGCUGGCGGCGUGCUUAACACAUGCAAGUCGAACGGAAAGGCCCUGCUUUUGUGGGGUGCUCGAGUGGCGAACGGGUGAGUAACACGUGAGUAACCUGCCCUUGACUUUGGGAUAACUUCAGGAAACUGGGGCUAAUACCGGAUAGGAGCUCCUGCUGCAUGGUGGGGGUUGGAAAGUUUCGGCGGUUGGGGAUGGACUCGCGGCUUAUCAGCUUGUUGGUGGGGUAGUGGCUUACCAAGGCUUUGACGGAUAGCCGGCCUGAGAGGGUGAACGGCCACAUUGGGACUGAGAUACGGCCCAGACUCCUACGGGAGGCAGCAGUGGGGAAUAUUGCACAAUGGGCGGAAGCCUGAUGCAGCAACGCCGCGUGCGGGAUAACGGCCUUCGAGUUGUGAACCGCUUUCGCCUGUGACGAAGCGUGAGUGACGGUAAUGGGUAAAGAAGCACCGGCUAACUACGUG